RNAcentral lists this ribosomal RNA (590 nucleotides) under uncultured bacterium. RNAcentral's name for it is "partial 16S ribosomal RNA". It matches the Rfam family "Bacterial small subunit ribosomal RNA", at positions 355 to 1375 of the family's 1533-position model. The record is from RNAcentral.
UGGGGAAUUUUGGACAAUGGGCGAAAGCCUGAUCCAGCAAUGCCGCGUGUGUGAAGAAGGCCUUCGGGUUGUAAAGCACUUUUGUCCGGAAAGAAAUCCUUGGCUCUAAUACAGUCGGGGGAUGACGGUACCGGAAGAAUAAGCACCGGCUAACUACGUGCCAGCAGCCGCGGUAAUACGUAGGGUGCAAGCGUUAAUCGGAAUUACUGGGCGUAAAGCGUGCGCGAGGCUGGUUUGCUAAGACCGAUGUGAAAUCCCCGGGCUCAACCUGGGAACUGCAUUGGUGACUGGCAGGCUAGAGUAUGGCAGAGGGGGGUAGAAUUCCACGUGUAGCAGUGAAAUGCGUAGAGAUGUGGAGGAAUACCGAUGGCGAAGGCAGCCCCCUGGGGCCAAUACUGACGCUCAUGCACGAAAGCGUGGGGAGCAAACAGGAUUAGAUACCCUGGUAGUCCACGCCCUAAAACGAUGUCAACUAGUUGUUGGGGAUUCAUUUCCUUAGUAACGUAGCUAACGCGUGAAGUUGACCGCCUGGGGAGUACGGUCGCAAGAUUAAAAACUCAAAUGAAUUGACGGGGUCAUAGCUGUUUCCU